AAAAAAAACUACAGGAAAUGAUUAAUCAAGACAAUGGAAGAUAUAGUGAGUGGUAGCGUGACUGAACAGCUUUGUGGAGUCCUCUGUUGAAGGGUAAGCCCUCCCCACACUUCCGUGAAAAUGAACAAGGAUUUUAGAGGGAUAGUUGUCCUACCUAGUAGCCCCUUGAAGCUACAGAAUGGGAAAUUGGCUUAUCUGCCAAAGACACUGAUGGAACGCUCAACAGUUCUCUCCUGGAAGAACGUAACACCAGGAAGAGAUGAAAGGGGAUUGUAAAGAGAAUAUGGACUGAUAUGAUUCAUUAUACCCAUUUGUCUGGGAUUUUGUUUGGCUCCAUUGCUGAUGUUUCUGGACUCAAAAACUAUCUGGCUUGAGCAGACACUGUCAGAACUGA
Molecule: long non-coding RNA, 394 nt
Organism: Dermochelys coriacea (leatherback sea turtle)
Lineage: Eukaryota; Metazoa; Chordata; Testudines; Dermochelyidae
Exons: 3
Source: RefSeq, a predicted model, not a curated record